RNAcentral lists this long non-coding RNA (3279 nucleotides) under Marmota monax (woodchuck). Lineage: Eukaryota; Metazoa; Chordata; Mammalia; Rodentia; Sciuridae. The record is from RNAcentral.
AAAGGCCAGCUCGGUGGACACGGGCAGGUCGUGAGUUCAAAGCCGGCCUCUGCCACACGGUGAGACCCUGUCUCAUAGAAAGAAAAGCCAGCUGGGGGCCGUGGUGCACACCGGUCAUCCCAGCACUCAGGAGGCUGAGGCAGGAGGACUCCAAGUUCACCACCAGCCUCUGCAACUCAGCGAGACUCUGACUCAAAUAAAAAAAGGCUGGGGGUGUAGCUCAGCUGAUUUAAGAAGUGGGUGGUCCCCAAAGGCGGUUCCCCAGGAGCCCUGAAGGCCCUUUCCUGGUCUCCUUUGGGCCUCUCCCUGCCUCCCAGGAGCCUUUCAGCUGACGCUCAGGAAGUGGGUGCCAAGAGCUGGCCCCCACUGCACGGUCCCCAGGCCCAGAGAACAGGGACUCAGUGCUGGGGGUCAGGAGAUCAUUAUGCCUCGGUUCAUCUCUGACUCAGGAUUCAGUGGUCCCCAAUCAGGCAGCAGAGACCGUGGGCAGCUGGAGGCAGAAAGGGGAAGAGGGGACCGUCUCCCUGCCAGCUCCCUCCUGCCACUAGCGAUGGGAGUCUCUCCCCUUGACGCUGGAGCAUGAGCAAGGAGCAGCCAGGCCGAGGGGAGGUUUAUGGGUGGCGCUGAGCCACCCUGGGAGCUGGGGGGCCGGGCCAGCCUCCCUGCUCCCUGCGGCCCUCUCUGCCAGGUCACCAAGGGCCCUGUUCUCUGGAGGGGACCUGGCCUCAGCGAUGCCCCUCCGUUCCCACUCUUUGCAUCUGAGGGGGGCAGGGACUGGUAGAGGGAGGAGCCCGUGGACGUGACCACAGGCCGGCUCCUCCUCUGGGUCUCAGUUUCCUCAUCUGUAAGCCACCGGCCGGGCCCAGCCCGGCCAGUGUCACAGGGUGUUGUGGCUGUGAGCCAAGAGGGGUCGAGGGUGAGGUUGGACGAGGACCUCAUCUCCUACUGCUGGGCUUCUGAGGCCCAUGGGGCUGGGGCGGGGGCACUGCUGCUUCUGAAUCUGUGUGUGAUUUGCACACACAGGUGUGUCUGCCCGGAUAUGUGCACAGUCUGAAGCCACUGUUACUGUGCCUGGUUGGUAUGUGCGGGCGGGUUUGUACACGCGUGUACAAUGCCCUGAUGGCCCUGGGCUGCGGCCCUCCUUCUCCUCCCCCGCCGGCAGCUGGGUGGGGGUGGGGCGUGGCUGGCGCUCAGGCCCGGGCCCCAUCCAGCUGGUUAUUUAUUGAUUAAUUCUGCUGCCAGCUGAUGGAUGCCAAGCCUGUGCCAGGCACAGGCCCUGGGCUGAUUUACAUAAUUAAAAACCAUCAGUAACAGAGCCAGCCUCGCUCGCCAACGGCUUCCUCUAGCGUGACAACAGGCCGGGCCUCUCCCUCCCCUUCCUGUCCCCCAAGGCUUCCUCCCUCUGGGCCCUGCCGUCUCCCUGCCCUGCUCCGUGUCACUGCCUCAGCCCAGCCCUGGAGAGACUGGAGUGACCUGGAAUCUCUGGUCACCGGCUGAGAUUCCAUUAGCCGGUGGUUCCGAGGCUCUUUGAUGGAGAGUCCCAGCUUAUACGACUCAGCUGUGAUCCUCGAGAACGUGAUUUUUCAAGAGUCUAUUACUCUGUGUGACAAAGGAGAGAAGUGUUUGUUCUCUGCAGCCCUCACGGCUCCCGAGAAGGCGGAGGCCGCGGGGUGGGCUGGGCCAGCCAGCCUCUCUUUAGAGGAGUUUGUCCCUGCAGAGGGGGGGCAGGAGCCGCAGGAGUCUGUGCAGAGGGAAGGAGGACCAGGGACCAAGCCCGAGAGCUGAGGAUUCUCUGGCUGUGGCCCCACUUCCAAGACGACGUGGGAAGGAGACAUUGGAUCUCGUGGAGAGUGUGAUGUCCCUCAGGAAAGACUCCUGUGGUUAGAGAGGCAGUUUGGGGGGACAAGCGUGGGUUUCUCCACUUCUGGGCUGUGUGAUCCUGGGGACGUUACUCAGCCUCUCUGAGCUGCAGUGUCCUCACCUGGGAAGUGGGGGUUGUCUUGAGGUCCAGUGUUCACCCCUGGAGAGUGCUAGAACACAGCCGUCCCAAGUGAGCCCCUAGUGGGUGGGGGCUGAUGUUGUGUGGCAGUGAGGUUUUUGGGAGGCCACUGGUGUUUGGGGUUGAGGCCCGUGUGCUCAUGGCCCAGGACACCAGAACGACAAUGACCAGGUUUGCAAACAAGAAAGGGUUUAUUCACAAGGCAGCCAAAGAGGAGGGGGGGGGUCCAGUGCCCCCGCCGAGGGCAGGGUUUGGGAGUCUUUAUGGGGUAAAGACACAGGGUGGUCCGAGGCCUAAGCUCAGCUCUGAGGUGGAGUUCUGGACCUUUGGACAUCCAGAGGUCACUCACCGGCCCUGGCACAGGCCCGAGGGAAGGGCGGGUGGCUUCAGUGUUCUGAGCUACCUCUGCCACGACUCCACGCAGAGGGGGCUCCACAGCCCGGCAGGGGGUGCACUGCUUGGCCAGGUGACCCCUAAAGUGGCAAUAAAAGCAAGCGCCAGAGGGCAGGGAAGUGGAGCCCCGUUCAGAUUCAGCAGAAGGUAGCCCCCCUCCCCGGCAGCCUGGCCAGGCGUGCUGACCCUGGGGACAUGGGGCCCAGCUCCCAGCCCAGCCCGUCGGGCGGGGGACCUGGCCUCUCUCUGGUCUCUCUGGUUCAUCUGCCCCCACCCCGGCCUCUUCCUCCCCAUUUCCGUUGCCACAGCCCCACUGCUUGGCCGAACCCUUCCCCCUCCCCAGACACCCCACCUCCAGCGGCUUCCCCCGGAGGUUUUGAGGGGAACAUGGCCCCACCCUGGUCCCCAUCCACCAUCGCGGCCUGGAAGUCCCCUCGCAGACCCUGUCCCCCAGCCUCAGGGUGAGGGCCACAUGUCCUGGUCCUAGCACAAAGGACCUUCAAGUCGCAGUCGGCAACCUGAGAACCUGGGGCUGGAGAUGCCCAGAGCACCGGGCUUCAGCUGGACGCCUGGGACCCUCUGCAGGGUGACCCCUAAAAUGGCAAUAAAAGCAAGCCUGAGGACAGGGAAGUGGAGGGUCUGUUCAGAUCCAGCUUAGUCAGAUCCGGAGAAGAUGUGCCGAAGCUGAACAAGUCGAAGUGAAUGAGCAAGGAACGUCCCACGGAGCAGCGCAGUGCGCGCAGCGUAGCAGAACGGAACUUCCUUAGGAAGUCAAGCACCGCCAGGUGUGGCCCACGCCUGGGACCCAGGGACUCGGGAGGCCGAGGCACGAGGAUCCCCACCCAGUUCAAGGCCAGCCUCAGCAACUGGGCAGGACCUGACUCAAG